GAGCAGACCUGCCCCUAAAUGGACACUGCGAGAAGAGCUGUUGAGUGAGAAGGCACUAUUUCUGUACAGUCUAUUUAAAGCAUGGGCCACACCUUAAACAUUCCUUUCCCCCUUACAAUAUGGUUCUUCUGUAGCUGUGCCUUUUGCCAGUAUGUUAAUUGGGUGUUUUCUCCUACACUAACCUUACACUGUAACUCUCAUUUCUUUCCCUCAACAGGAAGCAGUUAUGCAGACAGUCAGAAAUUACAAUUAUCUAACGAUUAGUUUGGCUCAAAAAAUCUGAUGCAGACCGAUAAACUCUACCGCCAGCCACGCUGACUGUCACAGCCCUGCAGGGUUCCCUAAAGGCAGUCAGCUAUUCAAAAUUUAUACACAUACCCUCGCUCCCCAACCACCACAUAUACCCAUCAUCUUAUGAAGUGAACCUGCCACGAUCCAAAAUACAAUCUGUUACACUUCAGAUAACAGUCAGAUGGAGAGAUUCAACAGUUGUUAAAAUGCCUGAUCCUUUGGGGAAUGGAAGGGAAGCUUGUAAGAAAUAUUGUGCUUAGGAAAUAAAAAUGACUUUCCAUGGUAUAUCCCUUUGUACGUGUAUAUCCAGAAGAUUAAAAAUCUAGCAAUGUGUAUGUUACAGAGGAUUUAAACAUACCAUUCAGUACAUUUGAAGGAAAAUAUUUGGAGAACAUUUCUGUAUGUUUUCAUAUAUUUAAACAGCACAAACAAAUGCUGUUACUGCAAGAAACCAGCUAAUUAAAUAUGCCAGAUAGCUGAUUUUACACUAAUUGCUGGAAUAAUUGCUACCAUUGUUCCGAAGCAAAAUUAGAACAUUUUGUGUUUGUAACCAUAUAGCCAACUCAGUAUUUACCAAAUUAACCCUUGUUUUUGGCUCAUCUAUAUUUAAUAAGAAGACUAUUAUAAAGACUAUUAUACUAACCUCUAAAAGAUCAGAUAGCUACGUACUACACCAAGCUAAUUGGCUCACUCAGCCAUAUAGGAAAGAUGGUGUGACCUCUAUUAUGCUAACGUGUUUAUUCAUAAAUAUAAGUUCCGUUUUGUUCUAAUCGCACUCCGUUGUGCCUCACUGUGUUAGCCGGGCUCUUGAAUGACUAUGGACAGGAUACAGGAGAGACAGUGUCUAUCAAUAAGGCAGUGGACUGGGAAGCGAGAGCUAGGUUCUCUUCCUUCCUCCGCACUGACCUGCUGUGCAGUCACGUCACUUCACCCCUUUCCACUCCCACCCUUUGCCCGUUUAAAUUGUAAGCUCCCCAGGGCUUAAUGAGCAUUUUAAUGUCUCUUAAAGAGCAACUGCACAGGGUCUAGUGAAAUGGGUCCCUGAUUUUGGCUGGGGCCUGUGGCAGGGCACCAUAUGCUGUGUGCCCCCUCAUGGAAUGGCUCAGGUCCCUCCCAAUAACUUACUUGUGCCCGAAAGUAUAUUCCUUUUCUAGGGAUCUAAUUAUAAAAAUAGAGUCCCCCUUUGGCCCCUCAGACCCAAACUCUUCCCUCUUGGGGAUUCCAGUUCACUGUUGUUCCAAGGCUUCAGGCGCACAGUACCCAUACAGUUCCUCUGAACAAGGAAGCUCUCCCAGUCCCAGGACAGCCCCUGGCCUCUCUGAAGAGACUUUCUUGCUGGCAUCCUUAUGCCCUGGUCCCUGGGCUCUCAAGUGUAAUUUUUAGAAAUAUAGAAUAUGUACCAGUCAACGUACCUUCUUCUCAACGGAUAGAAGGACACAUGACUAUGUGUGCAAGAUAGAGAUGGAGAGUAGACAGUUGGAUAUUUGGAAAGGACAUCUGAAAAAGCAGCGUACAACCUGUGUACAACUUGUAACAUCAGCAGAUCAAAGGAAAGGAGAAGGCUCCUGAACAGCUGGCUGAGCACCCGGAUUGGCCCUAUUGUGUUAGACACUGUACUCACACAGAAUAAGAGACAGUUCCUGCCCUGAAGAGCUUCUGAUCUCAACAGACAAGAAAGACGAAAGGUGGUAUUAUCCCCAUUUUACACAUGGGAACAGAAACAGACACACAUUAACUGUGUCCACACAUACAAGUGGUGCCCUCUGCACCUGCAGUGAUAAAAAGUGGAAUGAGAAGGCUUGGUUACAAGUAAGGACAGUUUUUGAUUCAGUUCCUGAAGGCUCUGCCUGACGCAAACUCAAUAUCUAGAUGAACUUGGGGCUUUGACAAGAGCUAGCUGGCUGCAACUUGGUACAGCUAAGCCUAAAGAAAUGUUGGUGGGUUGAUGAAGCAUGCACAAGUAUCGAAGUUACGAAAACAAGAACUGCCGUAUUGGGUUAGACCAUGGUCAGCCUUGCCCAAUAUAGCAUCUCCAAAGGUGGUCUAUACCAGAGCUUCAGGAGUGAACAGAACAUGGCAAGUAUGGAGUGAUCCAUCCCUGUCUUCCACUUCUGGCUUCUGAUGGUCAGAGGAUUAGGGUCACCCCGAGAAUGAGGUUGCGUCCCUAACCGUCUUGGCUAAUAGCCAUUGAUAGAGCUAUCCUCCAUGAACUUACCCAGUUCUUUUCUGUACCCGGUUAUGCUUUUGGCCAUCACAACAUCCCACGGCAAUGAGUUCAAUAGGUUAGUUGUAUGUUUUAUGAAAAUGUACCUCCUCUUGUUUGUGUUAAACCUGCUGCCUAUUAAUUUCAUUGGGUGACCCCUGGAAUUUGUAUUGUAUGGAAAGGUAAAUAAUACUUUUCUGUUAAUUUUUUCCACACUGUGCACGAUUUUAUAGACUAUCAUCUAUAUGAUAGAUGUCUUAAGACAUCGAGAUAGACUUAUGUGCAGUGCUGGGGAGGAACUAGUGGUUGUGGUACUUGUAGGUACCAGUGACAUAGGGAAAAGUAGGAGAGAGGUUCUGGAGGCCAAAUUUAGGCUGUUAGGUCAAAGGCUAAAGUUCAGGACAUCCAUGGUAGUAUUCUCUGAAAUGUUUCCAGUUUCCAUGCAGGUCCAGUUAGACAAGGUCUCAGUGUGUGGAUAAGACUAUGAUGUUGGGAAGAGGAAUUUAGGUUUAUUAGGAUCUAGAAAACCUUUUUGGAAAGAAGGAGCCUCUAGAGGAAGGAUGGUCUCCACCUAAACCAAAAAGGAGUCAGAUUGCUGGCAUGUCAAAGUAAAAAGUUCAUGCAGGAGUUUUUAAACUAAGGGCUGGGGGAAUGCCAGCAGGUGCAGAGGAGCACACAGUUGAAACAAAGACAUCCCCUAGGGGAGGAUCUAUUAAAGGGGUUACUCUAUAUCAUAGUAAAGAGGAGAAGAUAGAAGUUGGUGGAGUCUCAAUUACAUCACACAAUGGCAGACAGCUAACUUGACAAAUUUUGUAAGUCCUUAAAUGCUAGAAGUUUAAAUACUAAGAUGAGUGAAUUUGAGUGCCUGGUAUUAAAUGAGGAUAUUGUUAUAACAGGCAUCACAUCUUUCUUGGGUGGUAAUAGCUAGUUUAGAGUUUUUUGUAGGUGUAGAGUUGGGGUAUUUCUCUCCCUCCCCACAGUGUACAUUACUUUUCAGUUCUCAAUAUUGCGCUAUACCGGCACUCCUAAUACAGAGAGUCCAUCUGCUCUUUUAUAAUGCAAAUGCAUAUGUUAGGUAUAUUAAUAGAUCUUGGGUCAUUCCCAGUAGCAGCUGUGUCCAGAAGCACAUUCUUCCACCUCUAGGUGGUGAUAAGAGUAUGACCGUUUAUCUCUGACAUGGAUCUAGCCCCAAUUAUCCACGCCUUUGGCACUCUGAGAUGAGAUUGCUGUGACGUGCUCUACCUUGGCCUACACAUUUGAGACUCCACAGGAAAGAACCUGAAUGCAGACUGCAGAGAUCUGUUUAUCAAGCACCAUUUCACAUGAGAAGCACAUGACCCCUGUGACUUAUGGCCUGCACUGCCAGGAAGUAGGUUUCCAAUGUGUUGGUUUUAGCAUAUGUCUUGGGACCUCAGAAACUGUGUCAAGGUCAUGGCAAGUUUUAAAGGGAGUUGGCUGUUGGCAGGACAUUACCGUUAAAAGGUUCUCAGCUUUGCAAUUACCCCUUCUUCCACCCUUAAUCUGCCAGAGCCUGGAACUGUUACCCUGCGGGGCAUACUAUAAGGGUCAUUUUUCUCCCAAUGGUUUGAGGAGGAUUGGCUGAGAGUGGAUGUGGUAUUUAUGUCAGCUAUCGAGAGCUUUUAUUAGCUGGUGUGUAUUUUGUUCAUUAGUUGGUUUGGCCUGGGAAAAGAGGGUGAAAUAGUGGUCCAUCACAUUAAGAGAUUGUGAAAUUAAAUGAUGUAAGAGCCCCCAGCGCAUGAAAUGGGACACACGUGUGUUUAUAGCUUGAAAGAAAUACUAAUAAAUAUUUGCUCUGAUUAAUAGGUCUAUUCCUCGACUUCCUCUUACAAACAUGCAGUGACCUGUCUUGCCUGACAAACCUUCUCUCGGUCACACACUGUCCAGAAAGAAUAGAGUUCCCCACAUCACAUUAAUUAUCUGCAAAAAAGCGUAUGAGAAAAACCUCAUCCUCCUACUCAUGCUUCUUAUUACCAUGAUUAGGCAGUUUGGUUUCAAGUGUACUGAAUGAUGCUGUGGGCCUGGAAUUCAUUAGUCGACCUGCACUAUGUAUCAUUUUAUAUAAUGCCUUUAGCUAACCCCAGAAUGUCUUACAGGGGUGCUUCCCAAAGGGUGGUCAAUGGAACAUGUGGUCUAUAAAGCAGUUACUAGUGGUCCAAAUGAGUUGUUUGGUCACAACGGGCCAGUUUUUAAAAAGGUUCUUCAUUGCCUAAAGAUGCAGAUAGGUGCCCAGUGGGAUUUACAAAUACCCAUUAACACCUACCUCCUGUUAAAAAUCAAUGAGUUCCAGGAGCACUUGUAGGAGGGGAAGAGGUCUGCACAAUUGUGAAAGAGAAGAUCCAGGAGAUGAUCUCUAUUAAGAUGAGGCCCCAUUCUGUGAAAACAUUUGGGAAUCCCUGCGUUAUUGAAUUAAAAACUCUACAUGUAUAGGGACCCAUUCACUUUACCAACUGUAAAAUACCACUUCUGACGUGAGAAGCAGCUACCAUUAUGAUAGAACCAGCCACACUAAUUCUGGAACAGGAUAUGAACAUUGCCUUAUCCAGUUGAAGCAAGAGGGGAAUUGGGGGGUCAGGAGGCAGAACGCAGUUAAUCAAAAUGGAAGUGGCCCAGGACUUUUACAGAAGGGCAAAGAGCUCUUUAAUGAUCUUGAAGACUCAGCUUCCAUCCCACAGGAUGGCAGAGCCAGCACCACGUUGCCCCCCAGCACCCUACUAGGACAUUACUACACGACUGACUCAGAUGGAAGUGUGCCAGCGAUUGCAAUACCUCUUCUUGCUGCACCUGUUUUCCCCCAUCUGUCUCCUCCAACAGCUCUACUGACCGCAUCUCAACCUGAUUAUACAAGGAUACCUGAUGACAUCACAACCGGAUGCUUGUCAACGCCACAUGCUAUAUUAGUAUCUACGGUCAGAAACGUAUGCGUUAAGAUAAAAAGUGCCAAUAUAUUUCGAAUAUAUUAAGAUUGUCAGAGUGGGGCUGUAAAAUUGCAGAUUAUGGCAGCUGUAAGGGGCUAAUCUUGUUUGCAAUUUAAAUAGACAAGACAGAGAAAAGGUAGGAAGGGAAACAGAGGCACACAAAGAUGAAGUUAUUUGCCCAAAGUCACACAAGUCUGGAGCAGAGCCGGAAAUGGAACCCAGGACUCCUGAGUCGCAGUAGAGUGCCCUACCCACUAGAUAACAUGACUUUUGCUUGAUGUUGCCCUAUGGAAUCUCUGUCCCAUGGGAAAUUCCAACAUUAUGAAAUUGUCUCAUCCCAAACCAGGACAAAAAGUUGAAAUCUUGGAAUUUUUUGCCAAAUGAAAUGUCAUAUUUUAUCUUGAUCUUAUUGAAAAGUUUUGUGUUGAUAGGAUCAAAACAUUUUGUUUCUAGAUGAUUGUUUCACCUGUUUAUUAUAUUAUAGAUUGUAUUACAAUAUAAAUCAAAACAAUGUCAAAAUGAAAUAUUUUGAUAGUUUCCCAUUGACAAGGUGAAUGAAAUUGAUAUUUUCCCAUAGAAUGUUUGAUUUAAUCAAAUCAGCAUUUUCCAGUGGAAAAUUUCUGAUCAGCUCUGCUAGAUAUCCAGACAAUAUAAUUAAAUCCUUUGUGGGAUGGGUUUUGAUACUACCCUUCCCCAGCAUAUUAGUCACCCACCCUCUUUCCUCUCAGACC
Molecule: long non-coding RNA, 6161 nt
Organism: Caretta caretta (loggerhead turtle)
Lineage: Eukaryota; Metazoa; Chordata; Testudines; Cheloniidae
Source: RefSeq, a predicted model, not a curated record